CAGCAGCCGCGGUAAUUCCAGCUCCAUUAGCGUAUAUUAAAGUUGUUGCAGUUAAAAAGCUCGUAGUUGGAUUUCGGUGUGGGCCAGUUGGUCGGCCGCAAGGCCUGUUACUGACUGGUUCGCUCUUCCUCUCAAAGACUGCACGUGCCCUUCGCUGGGUGUGUGUAUUGGAUUUGGGACGUUUACUUUGAAAAAAUUAGAGUGUUCAAGGCAGGCUUUGAGGCUUGAAUACAUGAGCAUGGAAUAAUGGAAUAGGACCUCGGUCCCUAUUUCGUUGGUUUUACGGACCGAAGUAAUGAUUAAGAGGGACAAUUGGGGGCAUCCGUAUUUCGUAGUCAGAGGUGAAAUUCUUGGACCUACGAAAGACGAACAACUGCGAAAGCAUUUGCCAAGAGUGUUUUCAUUAAUCAAGAACGAAAGUUAGAGGAUCGAAGACGAUCAGAUACCGUCCUAGUUCUAACCGUAAACGAUGCCGACUAGGGAUCAGCGGGUGUUAUUGUACGACCCCGUUGGCACCUCACGGGAAACCAAAGUGUUUGGGUUCCGGGGGAAGUAUAGUCGCAAGGCCGAAACUUAAAGGAAUUGACGGAAGGGCACCACCAGGAGUGGAGCCUGCGGCUUAAUUUGACUCAACACGGG
RNAcentral lists this ribosomal RNA (639 nucleotides) under Amphisbetia distans. RNAcentral describes it as "SSU rRNA". It matches the Rfam family "Eukaryotic small subunit ribosomal RNA", at positions 568 to 1209 of the family's 1831-position model. The record is from RNAcentral. Lineage: Eukaryota; Metazoa; Cnidaria; Hydrozoa; Leptothecata; Sertulariidae.